This is a long non-coding RNA of Argentina anserina (silverweed cinquefoil), 719 nucleotides long. RefSeq lists it as uncharacterized. The record is from RefSeq and is a predicted model, not a curated record. The transcript has 3 exons. Lineage: Eukaryota; Viridiplantae; Streptophyta; Magnoliopsida; Rosales; Rosaceae.
UAAGAAACUGAACUUGCCGACUAUCUAGGAGGUUUUGAAUUCAAAAUUGUUAUCUACGAGUUAAGGAGAUAGAGUGUUCUUAAUUGUACUGGUUGGUACUCAUAACUGAAAUAAUGAUAAAGAGGUAUAUGUUUGGUGAUUCUCAAGUGCAUGGUCAUAUAAUUUGAUUUAUAACUUGUAUAUGGUACCUGCUAUCAUCAACUAUAUGCUUGACCAUGGGCUGAUUUGAUGCUUGUUAUCUUAGCUCUGAACUAAUGAAAUGAAAUUGAGCUUACCUCAGGGUGUUCUGAUCACACAUGCGCUUCUGUCAAUCAGGCUAUGUGCUUGCAAUAAUGUUUAUUUCAUUGUAAUGUUUUUCAUAUCUGUUCAUCUGGUGAUGCAGGAAGAACAAAAUUUGCCUAGUGUUUCGUCUGUAAUGGGACUGGCCACCUGAGCAAGCACUGUCCUGAAAACUCAUGGGAUAUCCGAAGGGUGGUUCUUGUAAAAUAUGUGGAUGUGUAACACAUUUGGCACGAGACUAUCCUGACAAGGGCUGCAGAAAUUCAAUGGGUGCUGCUGGCAUUUAUAAAUCCAAAUGGGAAUGAACCAAGAGGAAAGCUUACCAAAUUUACGAGUGGAGAUGAUCUGGAGGAUGAUUUCAAUUUCAUAGGUGAGAAGAGGAGCCGGUUGUUGUAGUUGGUUCUGUUCCUCUUCCACAAGAGAGUAAUGUAAAAUCAAAG